RNAcentral lists this unclassified non-coding RNA (570 nucleotides) under uncultured Campylobacterota bacterium. Its description in RNAcentral is "uncultured Epsilonproteobacteria bacterium partial 16S-23S ribosomal RNA intergenic spacer". The stretch from base 121 to 194 matches the Rfam family "tRNA". The record is from RNAcentral. Lineage: Bacteria; Pseudomonadati; Campylobacterota.
UUGAGAGAUCAAACGUUUCGUAUCUCUUAUCGGGGAAUUAGCUCAGCUGGGAGAGCGCCUGCUUUGCACGCAGGAGGUCAGCGGUUCGAUCCCGCUAUUCUCCACCAGUGUAUAAGCGAUGGGUUUGUAGCUCAGCUGGUUAGAGCACACCCCUGAUAAGGGUGAGGUCGAUGGUUCGAGUCCAUUCAAACCCACCAGUUUUGCGCCAUACGCACAAAGCUUUCAGCUCACGUACUUUAGUACGCUACGCUAAAACCUUUGCACGCCUGACACAAAAACUUGAUAACCAGAUAAGAGAAGCUUAAAAAGAGUAUUUACUUUAAAUAUUCUUUUUAGGUUUUACGCCUAAUUGUUUUUUAAAAACCUAUUGUUAAUUCCUAAGAAAUUUUAUAUGCGAUUGUUUGCAUAUAAAGUGUUUAAACCUUAGAUACUCAUCAAUUUAAUUAUUAAUUAUCUUAAUUAAGGCGAUGAUUAAAAGUCUCUUUUGGACGCAAAAGACAAAAGAGAUAUUAGUAAGUUACUAAGAGCAGACGGUGGAUGCCUUGGGUGGAAGAGGCGAUGAAGGACGUA